This 66-nucleotide transfer RNA is filed under the name Panulirus versicolor (painted spiny lobster). Its description in RNAcentral is "tRNA-Asn". Lineage: Eukaryota; Metazoa; Arthropoda; Malacostraca; Decapoda; Palinuridae. The record is from RNAcentral.
UUGGUAGAAGCCAAAUAGAGGCUUAUCACUGUUAAUGAUUUCAUUGAAAUUAAGUUUCCUACCAAG